CUUUGAAACAGAUCUUUCAACAUAUUUCAAGUUACAUGUGAUUAUAUUUCACACAAAAUAGUAUAGUUUAACAACUCGGAGAUAGUCCUUAGAAAGCAGGAGAAAUUUAUUGUUAUUAGACACUUUAAUGGCAAAAUAAAAUAGUUCCUCUCAAUAAUUAAUUUUAAUCCCACAGUUGAGAUGCUUUUCUUAAUUUUUUUCUCUUUAUCAACAAAUUAAAGAAUUGGAAGCUACUCAUCAAGUUAGUUUUGUAUUUUCCUCUCCUUAUUCUUUCAAUCUUUGUGUGGAAUAGAUUAUGAAAUUCAAUUACUUACUCUUGCAGGAUUCAAUUGCAAGAACUACAGAGUGAAGCAAAACGGCCAUUGUAAAGAAUACUUCCCAUAUGCCAUCAAUUACUAAAUGACGCGGUCUAUACAAAGAAAAGGACAAAUCACAUACUUAAACACAAAUUCUGGAGGUAUAUUGGUUCAAUGAUAACGGUGGAAGCCUAUAUGGAAUACAGAGUAUUACGAAUUGAUUAUAGUAGAGUUGGAGUCUAAUGGGUAAAAUUACUCAUUAUAUGCUUAUCUUUUUCCUGUAGUAACAUGUUUGGUGAAGUCACCGGUAACGCCUCAGCCGUAGGUUACAUCCUCGGAUUAUCUCACGACUACGUGAGAUUGAUACCGAGGUGUGCAAAAUUUUAUGUAAAGUUUCUAAAUCUUUUCUCUUUAAACUUUAUGUCAACUAUUUCUAAAUCUUUGCUCUUUAAACUUUCUGUUUUUCUACUACUUUGUUAGUUUUUUCAUCUAUUUCUUGCUUCAUUUCCUCUAUUUCAUUCUUCUUAUUGAGUAUCAACCUAUUUUUGUUAAAUUAUGCAUUAGCCUUAGUUAGCAUAACUCCAAAAUAUAUGCUUAUAGAAUAUUUGUUUCUUUAUUUUCAUAUUCAGA
Long non-coding RNA from Medicago truncatula (barrel medic), 926 nucleotides. RefSeq lists it as uncharacterized. The record is from RefSeq and is a predicted model, not a curated record. The transcript is spliced from 2 exons. NCBI's taxonomy places the organism in Eukaryota, Viridiplantae, Streptophyta, Magnoliopsida, Fabales, Fabaceae.